GACCUCCUAGGAUCGCGUCUGGAGAAUGGCUAGUAUUCUGCCAGCUUCGGAGUUGGGAGGGAAAGCAAGCCUGGCAGAGGUACCCAUUCCAUUCCCAGUUUGCUCAGUAGCUGGUGAUUGGAAGAUACUCUGCAACAGAG
Balaenoptera musculus (blue whale) is the source of this 140-nucleotide small nucleolar RNA. NCBI's taxonomy places the organism in Eukaryota, Metazoa, Chordata, Mammalia, Artiodactyla, Balaenopteridae. The record is from Ensembl.